AAGUCGUAACAAGGUUUCCGUAGGUGAACCUGCGGAAGGAUCAUUAUUGAAUAAACCUGAUGUAGUUGUAGCUGGCUCCUAGGAGCAUGUGCACGCUCGUCACUUUUAUCUUUCCACCUGUGCACCCAUUGUAGGCCUGGAUAACCCUCGCUUGGUUUCAAGCGGACGCGAGAAUUGCUGCUGCUCUUUCUGCAAGGAAAGGCCGGCUUUUUUCGAAUUUCCAGGUCUAUGUUUUCUUACAUACCCCAAUUGAAUGUUACCGAAUGUUAUCAAUGGGCUUACGCCUAUAAAACACAAUACAACUUUCAGCAACGGAUCUCUUGGCUCUC
RNAcentral lists this unclassified non-coding RNA (329 nucleotides) under Lacrymaria lacrymabunda. Its description in RNAcentral is "partial internal transcribed spacer region". The stretch from base 1 to 46 matches the Rfam family "Eukaryotic small subunit ribosomal RNA", at positions 1786 to 1831 of the family's 1831-position model. The record is from RNAcentral. Lineage: Eukaryota; Fungi; Basidiomycota; Agaricomycetes; Agaricales; Psathyrellaceae.